Molecule: long non-coding RNA, 205 nt
Filed under: Gossypium barbadense (sea-island cotton)
Lineage: Eukaryota; Viridiplantae; Streptophyta; Magnoliopsida; Malvales; Malvaceae
Description: long non-coding RNA (GBAR_LNC009466)
Source: RNAcentral
GAAAAGGAAAAUUAAGUUCGAGAUUCAUUGGACCAUACGAGAUUAUAGAAAGAGUUGAGUCCGUUGCUUAUUGGAUAGAUUUGCCAAUAGAAUUAGAUCAAAUCCAUAAUGUAUUUCAUGUAUCUGUAACACCCCUUACCGGUAUCUGACGCCGGGACAGGGUACGAGGCAUUACCGAACUUAAACAUAACCAAUCAUACAAAAC